This 207-nucleotide ribosomal RNA is filed under the name uncultured bacterium. RNAcentral's name for it is "partial 16S ribosomal RNA". It matches the Rfam family "Bacterial small subunit ribosomal RNA", at positions 568 to 774 of the family's 1533-position model. The record is from RNAcentral.
CUCGUAGGCGGUCUGUCGCGUCGAAUGUGAAAACCCGGGGCUCAACUCCGGGCUUGCAUUCGAUACGGGCAGGCUAGAGUUCGGUAGGGGAGUCUGGAAUUCCUGGUGUAGCGGUGAAAUGCGUAGAUAUUAGGAGGAACAUCAGUGGCGAAGGCGGCUUACUGGACUGAAACUGACACUGAGGCGCGAAAGCGUGGGGAGCAAACA